Small nuclear RNA from Neogale vison (American mink), 139 nucleotides. RefSeq annotates it as U4 spliceosomal RNA. The record is from RefSeq and is a predicted model, not a curated record. NCBI's taxonomy places the organism in Eukaryota, Metazoa, Chordata, Mammalia, Carnivora, Mustelidae. The transcript has a single exon.
AGCUUUGCGCAGUGGCAGUAUCGUAGCCAAUGAGGUUUAUCCGAGACGCGAUUAUUGCUAAUUAAAUUUCAUAACACCAAUACUUUUUUCUACUUGCUUUAAUAGAUGUAAGGGAAAUUUCAUAAAUAAUGAUUUUUUU